RNAcentral lists this ribosomal RNA (228 nucleotides) under uncultured bacterium. RNAcentral describes it as "partial 16S ribosomal RNA". It matches the Rfam family "Bacterial small subunit ribosomal RNA", at positions 568 to 795 of the family's 1533-position model. The record is from RNAcentral.
UGCGUAGGCGGAAUAAUAAGUCAGUGGUGAAAUCCUGUGGCUCAACCACAGAACUGCCAUUGAUACUGUUAUUCUUGAAUAUAGUUGAGGUAGGCGGAAUGUGUAAUGUAGCGGUGAAAUGCUUAGAUAUUACACAGAACACCGAUUGCGAAGGCAGCUUGCUAAACUAUUAUUGACGCUGAGGCACGAAAGCGUGGGGAGCGAACAGGAUUAGAUACCCUGGUAGUC